AGGACGAACGCUGGCGGCGUGCUUAACACAUGCAAGUCGAGCGGAAAGGCCCUUCGGGGUACUCGAGCGGCGAACGGGUGAGUAACACGUGAGCAAUCUGCCCUUAGCUUCGGGAUAGCCCCGGGAAACCGGGAUUAAUACCGAAUAUGACCUCGGCCGACAUCGGCUUUGGUGGAAAGUUUUUCGGCUAGGGAUGAACUCGCGGCCUAUCAGCUUGUUGGUGGGGUAAUGGCCUACCAAGGCGACGACGGGUAGCCGGCCUGAGAGGGCGACCGGCCACACUGGGACUGAGACACGGCCCAGACUCCUACGGGAGGCAGCAGUGGGGAAUAUUGCGCAAUGGGCGAAAGCCUGACGCAGCGACGCCGCGUGGGGGAUGAAGGCCUUCGGGUUGUAAACCCUUUCAGCAGGGACGAAGCGAGAGUGACGGUACCUGCAGAAGAAGCGCCGGCUAACUACGUGCCAGCAGCCGC
RNAcentral lists this ribosomal RNA (473 nucleotides) under uncultured bacterium. RNAcentral's name for it is "SSU rRNA". It matches the Rfam family "Bacterial small subunit ribosomal RNA", at positions 26 to 518 of the family's 1533-position model. The record is from RNAcentral.